UGCGUAGGUGGUUGGUUAAGUUUGAGGUGAAAGCUCCGAGCUCAACUCGGAAAAUACCUUGAAGACUAUCUGACUAGAGGAUUGGAGGGGAGAUUGGAAUUCUCGGUGUAGCAGUGAAAUGCGUAGAUAUCGAGAGGAACACCAGUGGCGAAGGCGAAUCUCUGGACAAUUCCUGACACUGAGGCACGAAAGCCAAGGGAGCAAACG
RNAcentral lists this ribosomal RNA (207 nucleotides) under uncultured bacterium. RNAcentral's name for it is "partial 16S ribosomal RNA". It matches the Rfam family "Bacterial small subunit ribosomal RNA", at positions 568 to 774 of the family's 1533-position model. The record is from RNAcentral.